CCUUGACCAUGCCACUGUACUCCAGCCUGUGUGACAGUAAGACCUUGUCUAAAAACAAAAAAGAAUCCAGAGUGCUAAAGCUGAAAGAGACACAAUUAGCUGUCCAGAGCCCUCCUUUGGCCAUUGAGGACAACUUGGUUAAACGUUUUCUCUGAGGUCACAGACAGGGUUUGGGCUGUACCCAGUUUCCUGCAGCCUCAUUCCUGCCGUCGCCACGGCCGGCGAGGACGCAGGCACAAGGACUCUAAGUGCCUUGCCCUCAGACUUCAGCAGAGCCGUGGCGAAGCUGCACAGUCCUCGGGGUGGCUUCAAGCUGGAGAAGGAAUAAACCCGAGAGAUGCAGCCGCCUUCCUGUGAGGACAGGACACUCUGAGAAUACUGAAUGGUCUGUAGGGUCAGAGAAGCCUUCCAAGAGAAGUAACUUUGAAAGGAAGAUGUGGAAGAUGAAAAAAAGGCAGCACAGGAAAGGGAGCAGGCAGGGCUGUCCAUGGCUGGCCGGACUUCAGGAGGACCCAGGAAGCUCUGGGAACACGGGACCGAGUGGCAGCAGAUCUUGUUGGAAUGAACCUUGAGAGCCUAUCACAGCAGGGAGGUAGCGUAACCAGAAGGUGCCUGCUUCUCCUUCCACCAUGACUGUAAC
Long non-coding RNA from Cebus imitator (Panamanian white-faced capuchin), 640 nucleotides. RefSeq lists it as uncharacterized. The record is from RefSeq and is a predicted model, not a curated record. NCBI's taxonomy places the organism in Eukaryota, Metazoa, Chordata, Mammalia, Primates, Cebidae. The transcript has 3 exons.